This 618-nucleotide ribosomal RNA is filed under the name Russula sp. 8 KA-2019. RNAcentral's name for it is "partial large subunit ribosomal RNA". It matches the Rfam family "Eukaryotic large subunit ribosomal RNA", at positions 74 to 663 of the family's 3401-position model. The record is from RNAcentral. Lineage: Eukaryota; Fungi; Basidiomycota; Agaricomycetes; Russulales; Russulaceae.
AUUCCCUAGUAACUGCGAGUGAAGCGGGAAAAGCUCAAAUUUAAAAUCUGGUGGCCUUUGGCCAUCCGAGUUGUAAUUUAGAGAAGCGUCUUCCGCGCUGGACCGUGCACAAGUCUCCUGGAAUGGAGCGUCAUAGAGGGUGAGAAUCCCGUCUUUGGCACGGACUCCCGGUGCUUCUGCGAUGCGCUCUCGACGAGUCGAGUUGUUUGGGAAUGCAGCUCAAAAUGGGUGGUGAACUCCAUCUAAAGCUAAAUACUGGCGAGAGACCGAUAGCGAACAAGUACCGUGAGGGAAAGAUGAAAAGCACUUUGGAAAGAGAGUGAAACAGUACGUGAAAUUGUUGAAAGGGAAACGCUUGAAGUCAGUCGCGUCGACCGAGACUCAGCCUUGCCUCGGCUUGGUGUACUUCUCGGCCUGACGGGUCAGCAUCAAUUUUGCCCCUCAGAUAAUGGCAAGGGAAAGGUAGCACCUUUUUAGGUGUGUUAUAGUCCUCUGUCGCAUGUGAGGGGUGGGAUUGAGGAACUCAGCACGCGCCUCUGGGUGUCGGGGCCGCUUGGCCCACGUUACGUGCUUAGGAUGCUGGCGUAAUGGCUUUAAACGACCCGUCUUGAAAACACG